UACGGAGGGGGCUAGCGUUGUUCGGAAUUACUGGGCGUAAAGCGCACGUAGGCGGCUUUGUAAGUUAGAGGUGAAAGCCCGGGGCUCAACCCCGGAACUGCCUUUGAUACUGGUAGUCUUGAGUUCGAGAGAGGUGAGUGGAAUUCCGAGUGUAGAGGUGAAAUUCGUAGAUAUUCGGAGGAACACCAGUGGCGAAGGCGGCUCACUGGCUCGAUACUGACGCUGAGGUGCGAAAGCGUGGGGAGCAAACAGG
RNAcentral lists this ribosomal RNA (253 nucleotides) under uncultured bacterium. RNAcentral describes it as "partial 16S ribosomal RNA". It matches the Rfam family "Bacterial small subunit ribosomal RNA", at positions 524 to 776 of the family's 1533-position model. The record is from RNAcentral.